CCAGGUGUAGCGGGUGAAAAUGGGUAGAUAUUUGGAGGGAACACCCAGUGGGCGAAGGGCGGCUUCUCUGGUCUGUCACUGACGCUGAGGGNUCGAAAAGCGUGGGGGAGCAAACAGGGUUUAGAUACCCCUGGUAGUUCCACGCCCGUAAAACGAUGUGUGCUAAAGUGUUGGGAGUNUUUGCGCCCUUUCAGUGCGCGCAGCUAACGCAUUAAGCACUCGCGCCUGGGGAGUACGACCGCAAGGUUGAAACUCAAAGGAAUUGACGGGGGCCGCGCACAAGCGGUGGAGCAUGUGGUUUAAUUUGAAGCAACGCGAAGAACCUUACCAGGUCUUGACAUCCUUUGACCUCUCUAGAGAUAGAGGUUCCCCUUCGGAGUCAAAGACACAGGUGGUGCAUGGUUGUUGUCAGCUUGUGUUGUGAGAUGUUGGGUUAAGUCCCGCAAAGAGCGCAACCCUUCUUGUUUGUUGCCAUCAUUUAGUUGGGCACUCUAACAAGACUGCCGGUGACAAACCGGAGGAAGGUGGGGAUGACGUCAAAUCAUCAUGCCCCUUAUGACCUGGGCUACACACGUGCUACAAUGGGAAGUACAACGAGUUUGCGAAGUCGCGAGGGUAAGCUAAUCUCCUAAAGAUUCUUUCAGUUCGGAUUGUCGGUUGCAAAUUGCCUACAUGAAGCUGGAAUUGGUUGUUAUUGCGGAUCAGCAAGCUCCGGGGAAUACGUUUCCCGGCCUUGUACACCCCCCCCCUCCCCCCCCAAAGGAGGUUUGUAUAGCAUCCCGGAAUGUCUGGUGCGUGCUAAAC
This 804-nucleotide ribosomal RNA is filed under the name Enterococcus durans. RNAcentral's name for it is "bacterial SSU rRNA". It matches the Rfam family "Bacterial small subunit ribosomal RNA", at positions 669 to 1460 of the family's 1533-position model. The record is from RNAcentral. Lineage: Bacteria; Bacillati; Bacillota; Bacilli; Lactobacillales; Enterococcaceae.